Felis catus (domestic cat) is the source of this 1034-nucleotide long non-coding RNA. RefSeq lists it as uncharacterized. The transcript is spliced from 2 exons. Lineage: Eukaryota; Metazoa; Chordata; Mammalia; Carnivora; Felidae. The record is from RefSeq and is a predicted model, not a curated record.
CCCUGACAGCAGAGAGCCCGUCGAGGGGCUUGAACUCACGAAAAGUGAGAUCAUGACCUGAACUGAAGCUGGAUGCUUAGCCAACUGAGCCACCCAGGUGCCCCUGGGCAGAACAUUUCUAAGGAGAGAAUGAUGAGAGUCCCACAAAGCCAUGCCUCUGCCUUUUGCCUGGGGAGAAGGGCUUCCUAAGACUGCUGGAGAGCUUGGCUUCCCACGGGUGCAGCUUUCAGAUGGUGGAGGGGAGCAGCUCCGGCUUCGGAUGAACUUCGGAAUCUGGGCACUUUUUCCUAACUAGACACCGUAAUUCCUGAAAGCGGAUUUUUGUCGUGAACGUGACCCCAAGGCAUUUUUCUUGUUUCGGACUGACCUCCAAAAACACCCCAGGUGCGGCGGUCGGGGGAGAACCAACUUCACUGAGCAGGUUUGGAAAGGAAGCGGGGAAGAAAGGACUCAGUUGUUUUCUGACAGUAUCCCACAAGCCUCUCUUGCUCAGCAACCCUGGUGCACAAGCAGCAGGAAGAAUUCUAGAAUUCUAGCUCAUUGAGCCAGAUGGGGAUUUAUCGACAGGAUGCUGGGUGGCUUAGAGAAUCACUGGGCGGCUGGAGAGACUGCUUCAGUAAUUGGGAGGUGACGCGGUGACCGCGGUUGAAGGUUGGCCGUGGAACCACGGAGAGGAUGCCACCACCUCUGCCCACGGAUGCUGGGUGAUGUGCUGGCCACUGUCCCCCAUCCCGCACAUUUCUAGCAGUUAUAAAAAGAGGCAGCGGCUGUCUCCAUCAGCGCUCCGUUGGAGGGAAGACCUCAAAUACAGGAACAUGGUUCUGGCGCUGGGCCCUGGGGGAGGGGGGAACGGAAUUGAUAGUUACCAAAAGGGUGAGCCUUUAAUCGAUGGAGCUUGUAAGCGAAGUAAUGGCUGAGUUUACCCUGCAAAUGACCAAAAUUACAUUUUUCCACCACCAGGAUAAACGGGGACUUGAAAACUAGAUUGUUAUACAAAACAGAUUAUUAUGGGAAAAUAAAAGUACCUUUCUGCA